CCUACGGGUGACAGCAGUGAGGAAUAUUGGUCAAUGGACGAUAGUCUGAACCAGCCAAGUAGCGUGAAGGAUGACUGCCCUAUGGGUUGUAAACUUCUUUUAUAUGGGAAUAAAAUGCAGUAUGUGUACUGCUUUGCAUGUACCUUAUGAAUAAGGAUCGGCUAACUCCGUGCCAGCAGCCGCGGUAAUACGGAGGAUCCGAGCGUUAUCCGGAUUUAUUGGGUUUAAAGGGAGCGUAGGUGGGUUGUUAAGUCAGUUGUGAAAGUUUGCGGCUCAACCGUAAAAUUGCAGUUGAUACUGGCAGUCUUGAGUACAGUAGAGGUAGGCGGAAUUCGUGGUGUAGCGGUGAAAUGCUUAGAUAUCACGAAGAACCCCGAUUGCGAAGGCAGCUUGCUAAACUGUGACUGACACUGAUGCUCGAAAGUGUGGGUAUCAAACAGGAUUAGAUACCCUUGUAGUC
This 460-nucleotide ribosomal RNA is filed under the name uncultured bacterium. RNAcentral's name for it is "partial 16S ribosomal RNA". It matches the Rfam family "Bacterial small subunit ribosomal RNA", at positions 338 to 795 of the family's 1533-position model. The record is from RNAcentral.